Molecule: ribosomal RNA, 94 nt
Filed under: Vibrio parahaemolyticus
Lineage: Bacteria; Pseudomonadati; Pseudomonadota; Gammaproteobacteria; Vibrionales; Vibrionaceae
Source: RNAcentral
ACCCACCUGAUUCCAUUCCGAACUCAGAAGUGAAACGAAAUAGCGCCGAUGGUAGUGUGGGGUUUCCCCAUGUGAGAGUAGGACAUCGCCAGGC